Myotis brandtii (Brandt's bat) is the source of this 2063-nucleotide long non-coding RNA. RefSeq lists it as uncharacterized. The transcript has 2 exons. The record is from RefSeq and is a predicted model, not a curated record. NCBI's taxonomy places the organism in Eukaryota, Metazoa, Chordata, Mammalia, Chiroptera, Vespertilionidae.
AAUAAAUAAAUAAGUAAAUAAGUAAGUAAGUCUUUGGGGAAUUUUUGUUGAAAAAAAAAAAUAGGGAAGAGAAGUCUUAUGGCAGACCAAAAAAGAAGCCAUUGCUGCCACUAAACCUCCUGAGAACCAGAGACAACUCCGAGAGCUUCUUGGAAUGGCAGGAUUCUGUUACAUUUAGAUUCUUAACUUUGGGCCAAUAGCUAAGCCACUCUAUGCUUCUUUGAAAGGGCUCGACAUAGCCCUUCCCUGGAUUUGGACCCAGGAUGUCAGAGGGCUUUUGAGACACCAAAGGGAAAAAUUAACCUCAGCCCCUGCAUUAGGAUUGCCCGACCCUCAGCAGGCUUACAGGUUUAUAUACAUGAAGGGCAGGGCAUUGGACUCGGAGCGCUUAUCCAGAUGGUGGGAAACUCCCCAAAGCCGAAUGUGUGUUUCUCUAUGAAAUCAGAUCGUACCACCCAAGGAUGGCCUCCCUGCCUCAGGGCGGUAGCGGCAGCCUGAAAUGUCUUUCAGGGAGCAGAAGGGUUUACCCUGGGACCGUCCAUCACAGUGUUCACUCCCCACCAGGUGCUAACCCUGCUAGAGCAGAAAGGGGGCUCCUGGUUAAAGGCUGGAUGAAUGGGCACAUACCAGGCCAUCCUGUUAGACAACCCAAUGCCACCUUGCAGACACCGAAUGUUACUCUGUAGGACCCAGCCACUCCCAACUGUGAGGGCAGGCUGGGACCUCCAUAUAACUGUUUAGAAAUUAUUGACCAGGUUUACCCCAGGUGACCAGACUUGUCAGAUCAGCUGCUGGGACUUACACGCUGAUGGAAGCAGCUUCAUGGAAAAUAAACAAAGAAAAGCCGGGUAUGCGGUGGUGACCAAUGGCAAGGUAAUGGAGGCGCAUGCCCUACUCACAGGCACCUCAGCACAAAAAGCUGAGCUGAGUGCCCUCACCAGAGUGCUGGAACUGUCUCAGGACAGACGGCUCAGUAUAUAUACUGACUCUAAACUUGUUUUCAUGCUGUAUGUGCUCAUGGGGCAAUAUGGAAAGAAAGAGGAUUUCUAACUUUGGAGAACAGACAUUAAAUAUCCAAAAGAGGCUCUAACCUUCCUUAAGGCCGGUAAUUUGCCUACUCUGCCUACUCAAAGUUGCCAUUAUGCAUUGCCCAGAGCAUCAGAAGGACAAUUCCCAGGUAACUAGAGGGAAUCUAAAAGCCAAUAAAGCAGCAAAGCAAGCAGCCCAGGGAGACUCCCUUAAUUGGGGCUCUAACACCCCACUUAGACUUGACAGAAUUGAAACCUCAUUACACAGGGCCAGGCAAAGAAUAGGCCAUGAGUGGGGGUUUGCUAACACUGACACUAGCUGUUGAUGGAGAAGCGAUGCCCAAAGCUCUGGUAUACCCAGUCCUGAAACAUCUGCAUGAAGGAAUGCACUAUGGGUGGGAUGCACUGGCUGAUUUAAUCCGGCCUUACUUAAAGGGACCGCGUUUGCAGAAGACUAUUCAAAAAAUAACUCAGCGUUGCCAAUUAGAUGCUAGAAAUAACCCCAAGAUAGAACGCAACCCAGCCGAGAAGGGGCAACAAUACAAAGGAACAUGCCCCAUUUGAAGAUUGUCAGAUUGACUUUACCAAUUUGCCUAAAACCACCGGGAAUUUCAAAUACUUGCUGGUUAUUGUGGACACCUUUUCCUAAUGGGUUGAGACAUACCUGACUAGAAUCGAAAAGGUGAAAACUCAAGGAAUUAAUUCCCAGAUUCGGACUCCCUAACAGUAUUCAGAACAGCCAUCAUUUAUAUCUGAAGUCACCUAGAAAGUCAGUCAAGCACUGCAGGUCCGAUGGAGAGUACAGGGUUCCUGAAUCCCUGUCUACUGGAACUGGGAAACGGACAUGAGCCACACCUUGGAGAAAACUUGGGCAAAGCUGUCAGGAGGCACAUUUGCAACGAGACCAUGUGCCUCCUCUUGCCUAUUAGGGAUCAGGGUAGCCCCUAGAUGUGGGCUCACACUGAACCCUUUUGAAAUUGUCUAUGGGAAACCCAAACUUCUGUUCUAGGGACUCCCCCCACUGGGUUAGAACAG